GCUUGUGGUUGCUAUGGCCGGGCUGACCUCAAUCUCUGUGGUUUGAGGGACUUAAGCAGUCAUUUUUUUCUUUUCUUUUCUUUUCUUUUCUUUCUUUUUUUCUUUUCUUUUUUUUUUUUUUAAUUGAAGAGCAUGUACCUUGAUUUAUGUCCAAAACUGUAGCUGAAUGUCUUUGUCCGCGGGUGAUAUAUGGUGCAGAACAAUUCAUCUGUUCUUACGAGUAAACACCGCUGUCCCACUAAAAAUAUGUUUUGUUCGGAGUUAAUGGUAUGGAACAGGGCAUUCUCCACAAACUGCUAUCUUUUAUUGUGUUGGGGCCGCGGAAACGCUGAGCAAAGUGCAGGAAAUUGGCAUCAGUCCUCGCGUCUAUUAGCAUUUCAUUUGUGAGUCGCAUGAUAAGACGCAUGGACUAUCCUCAGGAAAAUGAGAUCCAGGAAGAGUGACGCCCUCCUCGAACUGAAAGAUACUCAGGCUGAUGGAGUCAGGGAGGAAGUGGUUUAUCAACAGCACAGGAUGUGUGCAGGGAACAGAACUUUUUCAGACAUGCCCCAGAUUGUCUGCCCAUGGGGACUGAGGUACCUCUGAGAUUUACAGCAGAGAGGAAGGAGAGGCUGUUUCUACAGGUGCCACAGAAAAAUCGAUGCUGAGCCACGGAUUAUUGGAUCUCAUAGAACCGUGGAGACUUGGCAGUGAAAUUCUUCCAAAGCAUUCCAUCUGCACAGGCAGAGGUGUUCCUGGUUUGGGAAGUAUAAAUCCCGUGGGAAGUCAACUGGAGGACAUUUUACGCAU
RNAcentral lists this long non-coding RNA (789 nucleotides) under Mus caroli (Ryukyu mouse). Lineage: Eukaryota; Metazoa; Chordata; Mammalia; Rodentia; Muridae. The record is from RNAcentral.